AAAUAAUAUAAAAAAAUUUUUUUAUAAAAAUGCCCACCCCCCCACCAAGGCUCUGCCACACAAACACACACUGCACUCAUACACACACACUGCAUUCAUACACACACCCUGCAUUCAUACACACAGCACUCAUACACACACUGCACUCAUACACACACUGCAUUUAUGCACACACACUCUGCACUCAUAUACACACUGCACUUAUACACACACUGCAUUCAUACACACACUGCAUUCAUACACACACUGCAUUCAUACACACACCGCACUCAUACACACACCGCACUCAUACACAAACACCGCACUCAUACACACACACUGCAUUCAUACACACACACUGCAUUCAUCAUAUACACACACUGUAAAUAA
This is a non-coding RNA of Pelobates cultripes (western spadefoot toad), 369 nucleotides long. The record is from the annotation of a GenBank genome assembly. Lineage: Eukaryota; Metazoa; Chordata; Amphibia; Anura; Pelobatidae.